Molecule: ribosomal RNA, 328 nt
Filed under: Vibrio sp. SH2O41
Lineage: Bacteria; Pseudomonadati; Pseudomonadota; Gammaproteobacteria; Vibrionales; Vibrionaceae
Description: bacterial SSU rRNA
Rfam family: Bacterial small subunit ribosomal RNA
Source: RNAcentral
GGUGAGUAAUGCCUAGGAAAUUGCCUUGAUGUGGGGGAUAACCAUUGGAAACGAUGGCUAAUACCGCAUGAUGCCUACGGGCCAAAGAGGGGGACCUUCGGGCCUCUCGCGUCAAGAUAUGCCUAGGUGGGAUUAGCUAGUUGGUGAGGUAAUGGCUCACCAAGGCGACGAUCCCUAGCUGGUCUGAGAGGAUGAUCAGCCACACUGGAACUGAGACACGGUCCAGACUCCUACGGGAGGCAGCAGUGGGGAAUAUUGCACAAUGGGCGAAAGCCUGAUGCAGCCAUGCCGCGUGUAUGAAGAAGGCCUUCGGGUUGUAAAGUACUUU